GCCAGGCGUGGUGGCUCACGCCUGUAAUCCUAGCAUUUUGGGAGGCCGAGGCAGGUGGAUCACUUGAGGUCAGGAGUUCAAAACUAGCCUGGCCAACAUGGUGAAACCCUGUCUCUG
Molecule: non-coding RNA, 117 nt
Filed under: Homo sapiens (human)
Lineage: Eukaryota; Metazoa; Chordata; Mammalia; Primates; Hominidae
Source: Rfam by way of RNAcentral